RNAcentral lists this ribosomal RNA (528 nucleotides) under uncultured bacterium. Its description in RNAcentral is "bacterial SSU rRNA". It matches the Rfam family "Bacterial small subunit ribosomal RNA", at positions 355 to 873 of the family's 1533-position model. The record is from RNAcentral.
UGGGGAAUCUUGCGCAAUGGGCGAAAGCCUGACGCAGCGACGCCGCGUGCGGGAGGAAGGCCUUAGGGUUGUAAACCGCUUUCAGGUGGGACGAAGCCACUCGGGUGAAUAGCCCAGAGGGUGACGGUACCUCCAGAAGAAGCCCCGGCUAACUACGUGCCAGCAGCCGCGGUAAUACGUAGGGGGCAAGCGUUGUCCGGAUUUAUUGGGCGUAAAGCGCGUGUAGGCGGCUUGGGUAGGGUCCGCUGUGAAAACUCGAGGCUCAACCUCGAGCUGUCGGUGGAAACCACCUUGCUAGAGUCCGGAAGAGGAGAGUGGAAUUCCUGGUGUAGCGGUGAAAUGCGCAGAUAUCAGGAAGAACACCAAUGGCGAAGGCAGCUCUCUGGGACGGUACUGACGCUGAGACGCGAAAGCGUGGGGAGCGAACAGGAUUAGAUACCCUGGUAGUCCACGCCGUAAACGAUGGGUGCUAGGUGUGGGCGGUGUCGACUCCGUCCGUGCCGAAGCUAACGCAUUAAGCACCCCGCC